AUCUUUGCGCAGAGGCAAGACGGCGCGCAGUGAGGUGCAAACCGAGCGGCUGUUUUUGCUGAUUGAAAACUUUCAGUUCCAAUACCCCGGGCUGGCUUCAUUGCUUGACCCAAUAUUUGGAAACCGAAAGGUU
This 133-nucleotide small nuclear RNA is filed under the name Salpingoeca rosetta. RNAcentral's name for it is "Salpingoeca sp. ATCC 50818 U4 spliceosomal RNA". It matches the Rfam family "U4 spliceosomal RNA". From Rfam's summary of the family: U4 small nuclear RNA (U4 snRNA) is a component of the major U2-dependent spliceosome. The record is from Rfam by way of RNAcentral. Lineage: Eukaryota; Choanoflagellata; Craspedida; Salpingoecidae.